Molecule: ribosomal RNA, 253 nt
Filed under: uncultured bacterium
Lineage: Bacteria
Description: partial 16S ribosomal RNA
Rfam family: Bacterial small subunit ribosomal RNA
Source: RNAcentral
UACAGAGGUCUCAAGCGUUGUUCGGAUUCAUUGGGCGUAAAGGGUGCGUAGGUGGCGCCGUAAGUCGGGUGUGAAAUUUCGGAGCUUAACUCCGAAACUGCAUUCGAUACUGCGGUGCUUGAGGACUGGAGAGGAGACUGGAAUUCAUGGUGUAGCGGUGAAAUGCGCAGAUAUCAGGAGGAACACCGGUGGCGAAGGCGGUUCUCUGGGCAUGAUCUGACGCUGAGGAGCGAAAGUGUGGGGAGCGAACAGG